GGAUUGAAAAUCCUCGUGUCGGUGGUUCGAUCCCGCCUCUGGGCACCA
Molecule: transfer RNA, 48 nt
Filed under: Cellvibrionales bacterium
Lineage: Bacteria; Pseudomonadati; Pseudomonadota; Gammaproteobacteria; Cellvibrionales
Description: tRNA-Ser
Source: RNAcentral